GCUUGCUGGGUGGAUUAGUGGCGAACGGGUGAGUAACACGUGAGUAACCUACCCUUGACUCUGGGAUAAGCCUGGGAAACUGGGUCUAAUACCGGAUAGGAACGUCCACCGCAUGGUGGUUGUUGGAAAGAUUUAUCGGUCAUGGAUGGACUCGCGGCCUAUCAGCUUGUUGGUGAGGUAAUGGCUCACCAAGGCGACGACGGGUAGCCGGCCUGAGAGGGUGACCGGCCACACUGGGACUGAGACACGGCCCAGACUCCUACGGGAGGCAGCAGUGGGGAAUAUUGCACAAUGGGCGAAAGCCUGAUGCAGCGACGCCGCGU
Molecule: ribosomal RNA, 323 nt
Filed under: Micrococcus luteus
Lineage: Bacteria; Bacillati; Actinomycetota; Actinomycetes; Micrococcales; Micrococcaceae
Description: bacterial SSU rRNA
Rfam family: Bacterial small subunit ribosomal RNA
Source: RNAcentral